AUUGAACGCUGGCGGAAUGCUUUACACAUGCAAGUCGAACGGUAGAGGGGGCAACCCCUUGAGAGUGGCGAACGGGUGAGUAAUAUAUCGGAACGUGCCCAGUCGUGGGGGAUAACGUAGCGAAAGUUACGCUAAUACCGCAUACGAUCUAUGGAUGAAAGCGGGGGACCGUAAGGCCUCGCGCGAUUGGAGCGGCCGAUGUCAGAUUAGCUAGUUGGUGGGGUAAAGGCCCACCAAGGCGACGAUCUGUAGCUGGUCUGAGAGGACGACCAGCCACACUGGAACUGAGACACGGCCCAGACUCCUACGGGAGGCAGCAGUGGGGAAUAUUGGACAAUGGGCGAAAGCCUGAUCCAGCAAUGCCGCGUGAGUGAUGAAGGCCUUAGGGUUGUAAAGCUCUUUUACCCGAGAUGAUAAUGACAGUAUCGGGAGAAUAAGCUCCGGCUAACUCCGUG
This 455-nucleotide ribosomal RNA is filed under the name uncultured bacterium. Its description in RNAcentral is "bacterial SSU rRNA". It matches the Rfam family "Bacterial small subunit ribosomal RNA", at positions 30 to 507 of the family's 1533-position model. The record is from RNAcentral.